RNAcentral lists this ribosomal RNA (253 nucleotides) under uncultured bacterium. Its description in RNAcentral is "partial 16S ribosomal RNA". It matches the Rfam family "Bacterial small subunit ribosomal RNA", at positions 524 to 776 of the family's 1533-position model. The record is from RNAcentral.
UACGUAGGGUGCAAGCGUUAAUCGGAAUUACUGGGCGUAAAGCGUGCGCAGGCGGCUUUGCAAGACAGAUGUGAAAUCCCCGGGCUUAACCUGGGAACUGCAUUUGUGACUGCAUGGCUGGAGUGCGGCAGAGGGGGAUGGAAUUCCGCGUGUAGCAGUGAAAUGCGUAGAUAUGCGGAGGAACACCGAUGGCGAAGGCGGCAUCCUGGACCAUAACUGACGCUGAGGCGCGAAAGCUAGGGGAGCAAACGGG